This 374-nucleotide ribosomal RNA is filed under the name uncultured bacterium. Its description in RNAcentral is "bacterial SSU rRNA". It matches the Rfam family "Bacterial small subunit ribosomal RNA", at positions 28 to 404 of the family's 1533-position model. The record is from RNAcentral.
GACGAACGCUGGCGGCGUGCUUAACACAUGCAAGUCGAGCGGUAAGGCCCUUUCGGGGGUACGACGAGCGGCGAACGGGUGAGUAACACGUGGGUGACCUGCCCUCAGCUCUGGGAUAAGCCUGGGAAACUGGGUCUAAUACCGGAUAUGACUCCAUGACGCAUGUUGUGGGGUGGAAAGCCUUGUGCGGCUGAGGAUGGGCCCGCGGCCUAUCAGCUUGUUGGUGGGGGAUGGCCUACCAAGGCGACGACGGUAGCCGGCCUGAGAGGGCGACCGGCCACACUGGGACUGAGACACGGCCCAGACUCCUACGGGAGGCAGCAGUGGGGAAUCUUGCGCAAUGGGCGAAAGCCUGACGCAGCGACGCCGCGUGA